RNAcentral lists this ribosomal RNA (460 nucleotides) under uncultured bacterium. Its description in RNAcentral is "partial 16S ribosomal RNA". It matches the Rfam family "Bacterial small subunit ribosomal RNA", at positions 339 to 795 of the family's 1533-position model. The record is from RNAcentral.
CUACGGGUUGCUGCAGCAGGGAAUAUUGGACAAUGGGCGGAAGCCUGAUCCAGCCAUGCCGCGUGAAGGAUGAAGGCGCUCAGCGUUGUAAACUUCUUUUGGAUGGGGACAAUAACUUCCAUUUAUGGGAGCUUGAGGGUACCAUCAGAAUAAGCACCGGCUAACUCCGUGCCAGCAGCCGCGGUAAUACGGAGGGUGCAAGCGUUAUCCGGAAUCACUGGGUUUAAAGGGUGCGUAGGCUGUUAGAUAAGUCAGUUGUGAAAUUCCCCGGCUUAACCGGGUGGACUGCGAUUGAUACUGUUUAACUUGAAUGAGGUUGAGGUAGGCGGAAUGUGGCAUGUAGCGGUGAAAUGCUUAGAUAUGCCAUAGAACACCGAUUGCGAAGGCAGCUUGCUGGGCCUUCAUUGACGCUGAGGCACGAAAGCGUGGGGAGCAAACAGGAUUAGAUACCCGUGUAGUC